This 31515-nucleotide long non-coding RNA is filed under the name Setaria viridis. RNAcentral's name for it is "long non-coding RNA (SVIR_LNC010348)". The record is from RNAcentral. Lineage: Eukaryota; Viridiplantae; Streptophyta; Magnoliopsida; Poales; Poaceae.
GGAGGCGGGGGAUCGGGGGAUUCGACAAGCACCUUAUAUAUAGGAGAUAGAGACCGAAAAAGAAAGUAUCCACACUUCAAUGAAUCAAUCAUUCAAAAUUAAAAGAUCGAGUUAAUCAAUUCAUUUGAUUGAUAGGAUUAUUAGGCUCAUAAUGAGAACGGUUUUAACAUAAUUGACAUGAUUGAUGAUUUGAUUGUUCCGAAUUGACUGUGAUCGAUCGUCAAUCAAUCAAUUUGAUUGGUGAGACAAUAGACUUGUAAUUGAAAGGGUUUAGAUGUAACACGAAGGGACUCAACGUGAUUGGUGAUCUGAUUGGUCCAGAUUAACUAUCAUUAACCGUGAGUAAAUCAAUCAAUCAAUUUGAUUGGUGGGGAUAGUCGGCUUGUAAUUGGAAGUGACUCAGCGUGAUUGGUGAUUUGGUUAUUCUAGAUUGACCGUGAUUGAUCAUUUGGCUUGAAGUGGAAGGUCCUAAGUGUUGACGAUCCUUAUGUCAGAAAUCUGACCGUCACGCUACUCAAAGAAUAAAGGAAAACUAACAUUCCUUACUUACAUAUUUGUUAUCAAUAACCUAGUGCACAUGUAUUGGAAAAUAAGUUAUUUCAGGGAUACAAGUCUGUACAAGAGAGAAAACGUGCGCAAACAUGGAUGAAACACACAGAAGGACACUUGACGCGCACAUGACGGUUAAGAAGGCCCACAUGCCAGAGCAAAUUAGCCCAAUCCUAGUCCACAAGGGAAAUGACUAAGGCUCACCAGGCAGCCCACCACACAAAGGCGGUGGCGAGGUGGCCUAGCCCAGGGUCAGCCAAACCUUAGGUUCAGCCGAACCUGGACAGGCUUCCCUCGUCGUCAUCCUCCACGUGGCGGUCCCUGAUUGACUCCCAAAGGCGGUGGAGGAAGAUUCCCCAAAGAUGCCUCCCGGGAACCGCCUCUACACACCUAUAAAGAGAGGAGGAGGAGCCCUUUCUCACACACACCACACUUGAAGCCUCUCUCCCUCUCUCUCUCUUGCUACUCUUGUAAUCCUUAGGCUAGUGGAGCUUGCUAUAACUAAAAUAUUGUAGCGCUAAGCUAUUCUUUGGGUCAGUUGGGCACGUUAACCUCCGGCUCUCGGUAUGGCUUUUUACUCGGCUUGUCCAUAUCCUAUUUACAAAGAGUAUGGUUGCUAUGCUAUUUUUGUAGUAUAUUAUGCCAUGUCUUGUGCUUUACUAAGUUAUACUCAUAUGCUUAGGCUGAAUCUAUGUUACCACAUCGGUUUGUUGUGCCUUCGGGCUUGCUCUAGUUCUAUGCUUGUCAAUCAUCAUGGUCGGGGUUCCGGAGGGGCUAGAGUAGUGAUCACGUGUAUGAGCGUGGUGCUCGGGCGCAUUGGGAUCCAUCGAAUAUGACUGUGCCCCGCGGUCUAAGGGGUAGGCGGAAGGUGGUGAUAGCCCUAUCCAUCCCUUAUAGUCCCCCACGUUCAGGUAUGGUGUAGGAGUUCUGAAACAUAUCUUGCCUUGGCAGACCAGGGCCAGGUAUUCUCCCCGUAAUGCUGUAUGCCUAGAGUUAGCUCUGAUCAUAUGCUUGUAUGACCCUUGCUAGUAUAGAUAGUUGCCAUUAGGACCUCUUGUAUGCCUUGCUCCCGCUAACCUUAGGUUUAUUCUUUUAUUCUUUAUUCUUGAGAUUGGCUUGUGUAUGCAUCACAUUACCCUCAUAUAUUUAUCAUAGCUUACCCCUGUGUGAACUUUGGUCUAUUACUUAAGCUUAUGAUCCUUGAUAUGUGUCCGAUAAAUCCUUGUACACCAAUGUCAUCCUUUGGGAAAAUAUAAAUAACGAUAUCCAGAAUACUCUCUGGGUGAAAUGCUUCAACGAUAUAUCCGUGCGCUUGCGGAUUUAUUCGUAACUUUAAUAAAUACCAACAAGCAUUUUUUGCGUCGUUGCCGGGAUGGCAUUGGUUAAAAGAUUUAUCAAUACAUGUUAUUGGUUAUAUGAUUAAGGAAUAGCCAUUGCUUAUACAGGCUAGCUUAUCUUUGUUUUCUCCUGAUGGAUGAAAACAUUGCUUAUACAAGUUUCGACUUGCCGACCAACUUCAUCAAGAAUCCGGAAUGUCUCCUGAGAAGGGUCUGACCUCGUGUCAUCUCUCCUCAGAUCAUUCUUUCAGCAACCGAACCAGUCAUCCUAGCACCAUCCAUUCCUAAGGCUAUGGCUGAAAAGACUCUUCCCGAGUUCUCCAUCCCCUCCACCGACAAUGUGGCCACUAACCCCGCUAUUGACUUGGGGGAUGUGAACUUCGAGCUGAAGGCGAACCUCAUCAACAUGGUGCAAGCUAGCCCCUUCUGUGGCAAGCUGAACAAGGACGCAAAUACUCAUCUCCAACACUUCCUUGGCCUUUGUGACAUGGUCACAAUGAGAGGAGUCACCCAAGACACCAUCAGACUCCAUCUUUUCCCAUUCUCUCUCCUCGGGAGGGCGAAACAGUGGUUCUAAAAGGAUAAGGAUGCUGUCAACAUGUGGGAAAAAUGCUCCAUGGCGUUCCUCACCAAAUUAUUCCCGUUGGGCAAAACAAAUGUCCUCUGUGGAAAGAUUUCCAGCUUUUAGUAGUCAAGCAUGGAGACGAUCCCAGAGGCGUGGGAUAGGCUGCAAGAAUACAUCCUUGCCUACCCACACCAUGGGAUGGACGACUGGAUCAUCCUCUAAAGCUUCUACAAUGGGCUAACCAUGUCAGCACGAGCCUAUCUUGACGCUGCUACUGGAGGAGCCUUCCUCGACCUCACUAUUACCAAGGCUACGGCCCUGGUCGAGAAGAUGGUCUCCAACCAGGGGUGGAGCAAAGAAUGACUCCAACCUCGUACGCGGGGCAUGCACACCAUCAAGGAGAUGAACAUGCUAGCCACUAAGCUAGAUCUCCUACUCAAGUGCAUGGACAAGCGGGAGAAGCUGCAAGAACUUAUGCUCAAUCCCAUUGAAGCCUUGGACUCGCACCUCACGUGUGAGGUCUGCAGAAAUGGAGGACACUUGGGGAACGAUUACCCCGAGACCCGUGAAGAUGUCUCUUACAUGAACAACAAUAGCAACAACUGGUACCGUCCUCAAGGUAGUCAAGGGUGGAACCAGUCGCGCCCACACUACCAGUGAGGUAACAAUAAUUUCAAUUCAAAUUACAAUUCAAACCAACCUUCCUUAAGGGACCUUGUUCUUGACCAAGCUAUAAUUAAUGAAUCUCUGUCUAAAAAGUUUGCUACCAAUGAUAAAACCUUGGAAAGCAUCAAUGUUAAAAUUGAAAGUCUUUCCUUUGUGUUUAAAAAUCAAGUGAGCUUCAAUAAAAUGAUCAAAACCCAAUUAGCUUAAAUUGCCGCUAAUGUUCCUUUCAAAGUAAAUGCAAUGACCAGGAGGGGCAGUAAGUCCACUUGUGAUCCACCAUAUCCUAACCAUGUAGGGAAGGCAAAAGCACAUAAGGAACAAGUAGAGGAAAAGGAGCCGGUAACCCCAGAAGACACUAGGGAACCAGAAAAGGAAACAGCCCCGCAAGGGUUCGUAGAUAUGAGCUUCUUGCCAUUUCCUACCCGCAUCCGGAAGACGGCUGUGGAUGAGCAGUUCGCUCAUUUUGUUGAAAUGAUCCAGAAGAUACAUGUCAACGUCCCCUUGUUGGAAGUGAUGCAUGUUCUGAUGUACGCAUGAUACAUCAAGGACAUCAUCAACAACAAGCGACCUCUGCCCACCACUGAAGUCAUCAAGCUCAGGGAAGAGUGUAGCAAAGCUAUACUCAACAGAGUCCUGGAAAAGAAGAAAGAUCCGGGGUGUCCUAUGAUCACAUGCUUGAUAGGAACACACCGCUUCAACCGUGCUUUGUGCAACCUUGGGGCUAGCGUUAGCAUGAUGCCCAAGGUCAUCUUCGACCAGCUAAACUUCACACACCUAUCGCCCACACCAAUGCAUCUCCAGCUAGCUGAUUCCUUGGUCCGCUACCCGACAUGGAUAACAGAAGACAUUCUGGUGAAAAUCCAGGACUACUUCAUCCCUGUUGACUUCGUGGUGCUAGACAUGGAAACAUUAAAAGAGAAGCUGCUCAUUCUUGGGCAACCAUUCCUGAGCACAGCUGGAGCACACAUCGAUGUUGGAGCUAGAGAAAUCCGCUUCAACAUAAAUGGUAAAGAGGAGAAGUUCAACUUCCGGUCCAAGAAGGAGCAAUGCUCCAUAAUCAAGAUCAAGUACGGGCCGAAACCACAAGGCAUCAAAGAAGUUAAAGUGAUGCCUCACAAGAUGAUCAUCCUCAUCCCAUUCAUAAAAGCCUUCAUGAAGAAGGAAGAGCAAAGAAUGGACAAGAGGUCGAGGUUAUGGAAAAACUAGACCCCAAAGUCCAAGAAGAAACAAGUAUCGGAUUUAUAAGCUCGGCAAUCCACCAGGGGGUUACCCAAGUGGUUGAUUUGUAGGUGAGAGCGGUUGCGAAACCAAGAACUUGAAGUUAAUCACAAGAACACGAGUGACACAAGGGUUUUAGACAGGUUCGGGUCUCCAGUAAUACCCUACGUCCUGUGUUUUGGUGGUUUGUAUUGCUUGAGAGUUGAUGGGGAUUCUUGGGAUUGGAUUCGUUGGGUUGCCUCGGGAGGCUCCCUUGGCUGCCUUAUAUAGGCUGACAACCAAGAGUUACAAGUCAGUUUGAAUUUAAUCUACUCGGUAGUUACAUGGAAAGUAAUCUGAGUCGGACUACAAUAUGUGAUCUAUGAUAUCCGGGAAGAUUUAGACUAUCUUGUUACCUUGACGUGUACUCCAAGUAACUUCAUGUCCUUAGCCUGCACGCCCUGGUUGGGCAGGCCCACUUGCCAGGACCGGUCAGUAUCUUGGUCGGUAGGGACCCAUGGGUUAUCAUAUCCCUUAAGCCCCUAAGCGAUGUGUAGGUGAACAGGAACUUGAGGUCAUCACAGCAAAGCUUGAAAUGAAGUUGGCUGAAGCUGCGAUGGCGUCAUGGUAGCAGAGAGGCUGCACAGUGCUCAAAAUAGAAGAAAAUCUGAGCGAACGUAGAGCCAACGCGCAGAGCGAAGACGAGUGCCGAGUUGAUGGAUGCUGGCAUCCAGCAGGUCAAAGCGAAGGUUACAGAGGGUGUCGCAAGAUGCACUCCAGAGGAGUAGCCCGCAAGCAUUGAAGCGAUUAUAAUAAUCGGUCCAAUGGUCAAAGAAUAAGAAAUUACCCCUUGAAGUAGAUCCCAGUGCCCGAGGAUGAGGAUAGAUGCAGACACGGAAGCUUGCCGACCAAAAAUACACGUCCAAAUCUCUGGAGAUAAGGACUCGUGCAAUGAUAGAUAAGUGACAAAAAAUGCCUGCUCACGGGAGUAUUGCACCAUCUGAAUAGCGUCAGGAUUCUCGUCAGUACUUGAAGAUCAGUCUGACCAUCACGUGAACACCGUAGAGCCGUAUUGGCAUGGGAAAGCCUUGUCGUGAACCCUCACGAGUACACUGUAGCAAUUUGGAUGUUAUCUUGUGAUCUGGCUAUAAAUAGACCAACGUUCAACUCAAAAAGUCAUGGCCCAAAUAAUAGCACUUGUAGGCUUGAAGCUUGUAGUUUUUAAUAGGAGUAACACCUGCUCGGAAGCCUGAUGCUAGAAGAAUUCUCGUGAAGCAAACCCAGAUGCUCCUUCCCUUCACAGUCUCUUUGAUGAAGGCGAGAGGUAACGAUGCUAGAAGAAUCCUCGUGAUGAGGCUGUAUCAUGAACCCCAUCACUUUGUCCAGGACACUGCUAGGGAAGUGUUUCGCGCAGCUUUCUUAUAUUGAGGUUUUUUCUUUUUCUGCAUUGUUUCUUAUCCUGAGGUGUCAGAUAUCCUAGAGCUAUUCACAGUCACUUGUAAUAUGUGUUGCCAGUAAUCUUUCCAGGGAAAGGAAUUGUAGCUGAGCGAAAAAAUGUUCGUGCAUCUGGUGUUGGGGAUUUAUGGGGCCACGGAGGCAUACUGACAUGAAACUAGUCGUCUAGUCCCCGAGGACGAGGACUAGCAGAGCUGCAUAGGCACACUGAGUAGAAUUAGAUGCCCAGCCCCUCACCAAGUAGAAUUAGGUGCCCAACCCUUGAGGAUAAGGUUUGGCAGAGCCACGGAGGUAUGCCGACCAGAAUUAGGCACCCAGCCCCCGAGAACAAGGGCUAGCGGAGCCACGGAGGCAUGCCAACAAGAAUUAGGAACCUAGCCCCCGAGGAUGAGGGCUAGUGGAGCCAUGAAGGCACGCCGACCAGAAUUAGGUGCCCAUCCCCUGAGAUCGAGGACUGGCAGAGCCACGGAGGCACGCCGAGUAAGAUUAGGUGCCUAGCCCCCAAGGUCGAGGACUGGUGGAGCCGCAGAGGUACCCCGACCAAAAUUAAGUGCCCAGCCCCUGAGGACGAGGACUGGUGGAGCCGUGGAGGUACGCCGACUAGAAUUAGGCACGUAACCCCCAAGGACGAGGACUGACAGAGCCACGGAGGCACGCCGACCAGAAUUAGGCGUCCAACCCCUGAGGUCGAGGACUCGCGGAGCCACGGAGGCACGCCAACCAAAAUUAGGCACCCAACCCCCAAGGACGAGGACUGGUAGAGCCACGGAGGCAUGUCGUUAAGAGCGCAACAAAAAACCUGCAAUUUUCUCCUGGCACGUUGCGCCGCGAUAACGGGAGGGCCGCAAUUUCCAUCCGUAGGUUACGCCGUCACCCCCCUCAAAAGCACAAGGGGUCACAGAGCCAUUUCACUUCUAUCUUGAACACUCUCAGUGCUGCCGCCUCAAGCCCACUAAGCACUUUGCUACUGUGCUUGCAAACCCUAGGCUGCAUUGCCGCAACCUUUAUUCCACUCGCGCACACGCCGCUGACGCCGCUUGAGUCGCCGUCACCCGAGCCGCCGCGCCGCCGUAUGCGCAACAAGACCCUAGUUAUUUUUAGAUCUAAAUCUCAAGGCAUUGAGCUCAAAGAAAUGGCGCAAUCCAAUGCCCCGGAGCCUUCUUCUAUCUAGAUGAAGUCCUUGAUGAUGCAGGAGCGCAUCCAAGCCCUCGUCAACCUAGGCUUCCUCGACCCGCAGGCACUGCUGGAGUGGAAGCCCACCGCCAGCCAAGAAUUCCCAUCAAAGGACACGGCGGAGAUGGUGGUGUUCGCGGAAUUCUUCGAGUGCGGAUUUAGGAUCCCGAUAGGAGACUUCUUCCACGGUCUUCUCCACUACUAUAAGAUUGAACUGGUACAUCUGAAUCCAAACUCAAUCUUGGAUAUUUCUAUUUUCAUCCAUCUGUGUGAAGCGUACUUGGGCAUCCUCCCACAUUUUCAUCUGUGGUGCUACUUGUACCAAUUGAAACCCGUGAUUAGUAAGGGGGAAAAAGCCCGGGUUGUUGGGGGUUGUGGAUUCUCGCUGCGGCCCAAGAAAGUGCAGGAGUAUUUUGAUCUGCAGUUGAGGGAGUCCGACAAGGGGUGCACAGCGAGUGGUUCCUUGUCGCGAAUCAGCAUCCCAAGCUGCCACCGCGCAUAGGGUACGGGCCAAUGUCUACGCCCGAGUGGUCAAAUCAGCCCACCUCGGAGGAGCAGGUCCAAGUGGAUGAAUUGCUGGAAAAGAUCGCCGACUUGAAGACUCGGGGACUGACAACCGGAGCCAUCAGUAUCAACUUCUAUCAAAGGGUGACACAACCGAUCGAGUACCGCGUGCACCCAUCGUAUGAGUACUUGGGGCUAGAUUAUCCGACCCGAGAGGUCCGUAGCAAGGUGCCAAACUCAAAGGUCAUCGACAGGGUGGUUGAGUUCUUCAAGGGUCAUAUCAGUAACAGGGACAUCCCCAAAACUUUCUCAUUAAAGAGGUCGUCGCCCACCCCGGUAAGAUUGUCAUCGACACUUACUUCAUGCACUAAAUUGUGGCGGAGCACCUCGGAUUAACUUAGCUAAAGCACAGUUAAGUUGCCUUAACACUUGAAUCACAUGCUUUAAUCAAGUUAAUUCGACGAUCCGUCGGAUUUCAUCCGAUAAAACCACUUAGAUAGGACCGAGUUAGCAUAGCUCACACGAAGGUGAGUGGUGCCAGAGAAUACAAUAGACUAAAGAAACAGUUCAACGAUUUAAUACACACUGGUUCAAAAAUCAGAGUUUUACAGGAUUCCAAAAGCAGCGGAAAGAUAAAAUAAUGGAAGCUAGCGCCGGGGUCGGAUGUCCAUGAUGAGGCCGAUCAAGACAUCAAUGAUCCCUCUCCUCGCCGUCCGAGGAGGGAUCCCACUCGACCGUCCACCCAGGAGGAAGCUGGGGCGGCCAAGUGCCAGCAGCAGCACACUCAGAAGCUUCAACUUCACCUGAAAAGAGAUGCCACAACAAGGCUGAGCUUCUAAACUCAACAAGACUUAACCGACCGGCGGAAAAACUACUCCACCACUUCUAGACAUGCAAGGCUCUUUGGCUGAGGAGUUUGUUUUGCCAAAAGCAACUAUACUAGGUCCUCACUUUCAAUAUUUUAGCUCCGGUUCUAAGUUCAUUAACCAGCCUAUUUUCACCACUUAUGCUAAGCAAACACAGUUCCAAACAGUAUGUAUAUAUAACUCAAACAUCAAGUUCAUAUCAUCCUCAUGUUCCAUAUUUACUCAGUGUAGCAUAGCGAUCAAGCAGUCUCAAACUAUGAGAGGUAGACGAAUUGAUUCGAGUUCUUAACUAUGCAUGGCAAACCUAAUCUCACGACAUCCGCGCACCACCGAGGGUCGCUUCCUGUGUCGGCCGUCCCCAUCAAUCCCCUGACCCGUGUCGGGCCCACUUCUCUUGGUGCAAUUUUCCACAGACCCGGCCUCUGCCGUUCUGUGACCACACUUGCCACCACAUGCGGCCGCAGGGGAAAACUCUGUUCCAAAGAUAGUGGAUCGAACCGCUCACGUCCAGGUUCAAUCAGGUACUAGGCGUCCCCAUCCCAUACUAGGUAUGAGAUUAGUACUUUCAAACACUUGAUCACGAACACCACCACUGUCAUACCUUAAACAGGUUCAAGUAGACGGACGGGGCAAUCCACCGACCACCAAAAGAGUUCACCAGGCCUUACCCCGUCCACCAUCCUUAUAGUUGUAACCAGAAGGAGAACAACCAACUCCUAUAACUCGCGAGUGAUAGGAAAUCACUCAACUUUUACCAAGUCCUAUUAAGCAUUGUAACUACUCCAACUUAUUAGACUAGUGUUCAGAUCAAGGGAACUAAGUCAUGCAUCUAUGGUUUCAAACAACUCCUAUAACGUAAAUGCACAUACAUACGAAGGAAGGCAUGUGCAAGUUUAGAAAGUUGGGGUCAUACUCCGGGGCUUGCCUUCGAGCGGGGCGGAGUCAAACUGGUCUCCUGCGGGUUCUGCUUCAGCUCUUGCGGUCGGCGGCUCAGUUACUACUCCGUCUUCUUGCACCGGAUGCAGCUCGUAGGUGCCGUCGGCGAGAUUUAGUUCUACACGGAAGUGCAAAUGCAGGGGUUAAACAUUUAGUCGGUUAUUUCAACAACACUUGCACGCCUUAGCUCAGAAACUUGUAGCAAAGCUACAGGAAAAGGUGUGGAAGUCCAAGCUUCAGUUGAUAGAGAACAAGACAAAAAGGGUCAGGUUGGGAUAAACUUAUAAUCUGACCCUCAGACCUAAGGAAUAAUUGUACCGGGGUCCUCAGACUUAACACAGAGAAGUCCUCGAAAUUUUACACAGAUACCCUCGGGUCAAGGAAAAAGAUACAGCUGAGUCCUCGGGCGAAGCGGACAAGGGUCGGCGAAACAGACAGGGUCGGGCAAGACGGAAAAAGGGGUCGGGCGAACCGGAAAAAGGGGUCAGCAGCUUACCGUUAGGCCUACCGAUGAAGUCUUGGGGUCGGGAAGGAAUAGACUCAGGCGGAAGGACUAAGGCGCUAAGGUUUGGAUGGCGGCGAGGUUCGACGGUGCUCCGGCGGUGGCGGUGCUUCUUGUCAACAACAAGCAAGCUCUAGUACCGUGCGGAGGAAACAGGCAGCUGGCGGGUUGGAAAGAAUGGGUUUGAGUGGAGAGGGGAAGUUCCUUAAGAGCUUAAGCGGUAGCGCUCAAGUGCGAGCAGAGUAUGGUGCGGCGAGGUAGCGAUGGCGAAGGAAACUCCAGUAGGGGCUCUAGUACUCCCUUUUAUAGCUGCGCGGAAGAGAAAGAGUUCAAGCAGCGCGAAGAUUAGGUCAAAAGGAUGGAGUGCUCUAUCAUGGCGGCGAUUGGGCGGCACCUCCAUUAGCCGACGAAGCAGAGCUUCGGGGACAGGGUCUUUGGUCAUUGGGCACUGGAGACAAGGCCGGCGCAGGCGUGGUUUUGCCGGGAUGAAGGGUUGGCAAGGGCGAGCACGGUCUGGUCGCGUCAAGCGGUGGAUUGGGUGCGGCAACUCGACUAGCGUGUGACAGGAAGGAAGGAAGGUAGGGGCACGGCAGGCAAGGUCGCUGUAGAUAAGGUGACAGGGCGAGCGGCGACGCUAGCAAGCGCAGAUCAGCAGCUUGCCGGGGCACGUUACUGGCGAGGCGGAAAAAGGAGUUGUCUCUACCGGAGCCGUGGUUGGCGAGGGCGGUAUCAUCGUGGAGCGCGCAUGUGGGCAGCACGACUGUGGGGGAGAUGGAAAAGCCGGAAGGCAUCGGGGCGCGCGGCCGGGGAUCCAGGCGAGAUGAUGGGUGCGGGCGGCGAGGCGGUCUGGCGCGGCAGUGGCCAAUCCUCUGUCGCAGCGGUGACAGGGUGCCUUGGCGUGGAAAGGGCUGCAAGGGCUUCCGCACGCGAUUGGGAAGGAGGCGCGCUGAUCUAUCUUGUCACGGCCGGUGACUGGGUGAGGCGGCGCUCGUCGGGGAGGUUGAGCCAGGCAGCGGAGAAGCUCUGAAGCGGAGCGCACGCGGGCUCUGGCGCGUCUGACUCAAGAGAUCCGUGGGAUCUGGUUUUUGGGUCCACCAUUCAGUCUCUGGCUCUCCCACAGCUCCAAGAUUUGGAGGAACACGGGUUUCAGGACUUAGAGAAGAGCUGUCGUUUGCUCGGUUGGUGCGGUUUUGUUGGGUUUUUAGGGGUCGGACCGAUGGAAACUGCAGAUUUGGGGUUUGUCUUGAGAUUAACUUGGCUAAUUAAACCAAGGUUGUUACAUAUAUAUACUUAUGAUGUUUCUGAAUGAGGUUAUGACUUGAUCAGAAUGAUGCAUUUGCGUACUUUUGCCCAGCGCCAUUUGCCUGGUGGGGCUGAAAUGAGACCUCACAAGAUUUGCCCAACUGGCGUGCCCAUUGUGCCGCCCACCGAACUUCAGUGGCAAUCGAUGUCUUCUUUUGGGUCGGAUGAGGAUGUGAUGAAGGGAGUCAGCCAAGCCUCAGAUGUUAUACCAGCGAGGCAUCGGACAUGGCAAGCCAUGCGCAAGCAGCCCACCUCCAAAUUGUAGAAGUCGAGCUUCACGAAGAGGAAGAUGAUCAGCAAGAAGGGGAAGGAGAAGGAGAAGGCUGCCCCGAGCAUGACCUCCACCCCCAAAUCGGUUAGUGAAGUGGAGUUCGAGACACUAAGCGCGCUGGCAAAGAAGAGGAAGUCGGAUCUCUAGGAGACCACCGCGGCUGACGCAGCGCGCGUCAAGGAGGCGCUGAAGGUGAAGAUCUGUGGCGCCGCAACAUGGUGAAGUCGGAGCUCUAGGAGACCACCGCGGCUGACACCGGAGAAGUUGCAUCAACUCCAGCGUCGCACCAAGGUGAAGCCGGCUCUAGGGUUGCAAACGUCACCAUGGUCCACCUCGAGGUCAAGAAUAAGGCUGAUGAGGAGGCCAGAGCCGAGCCUCAGCAAUGGGGGCUGCCGAAGGAUGACCCGCCGCCAGAGAGGUCCACCGAGGAGAUUGACCUUGGUGUGAUUCAUGAAGAGUUUGACCCCGAGGACUUCUCUGACACGGAUGUGGCUGAUGACACAGCACGCGAUAAAGAAGACCUUUAGAAGUUGUGAAAAAUGUCCCUGGACACUGGCGAGUUGUUAUUUGUAAGUGCAUUUGCCAACUUAAGUUUAAAUCCAAGUUUCCUUGCAGAACUAAAUGUUAAAGUGUAAACAGAAUCUAGCCUCCCGUGCACGGAAGAGGAGGAAAGGGAUUCGACGGGCUGAGUGUUAUCGUUUGAAGGUGGAGCACCUUGAAGCUGAGCUCCAGAAGGCCAAAGAGGAUGCCGCCAACCAGCUUCGGCAAUGGAACCUAGAGAAGGGUGUGCUAGCUGUGCACAUGAAGGGUCUGCUGUGUGGACCUAUUUUAAUCAAUUUUGUCCUUACAACCUUGAUGCUGAAGUGAGCCUGUUUGGGUACGCAGAUGCCGCGAUGAAGGAGCAAAGACUAUAGCGGUACCUCAAGGAGUCUGAGGACUCUAAUGCAUGCCUUCAGCAAGAGCAUGACACGGUGCUCAAGUGUGAGUAUGCGGUAUCACAAAAGCUGGCCUGUGAAGCCAAAGCACGCAAGGAAACCAAGCGCUGCUUAGAAGUUGUUGUAAGUAAACUUCAGAAUGACCAACGUGUAAUUGCAGGGCUAGAGGUAGAGCUGGAGGAGCUGCGGAAGACGGCCUGCUAUGUGAUGGACAUGGUCCAACCAAAUGCUGACCCAGCCGUGCCAACACCACUGCUGGAUCGCCUCAAGGCCGCACUAGGUCGGCUCAAGGCACUGUUGAAAGACACUGUAGUAGAAUGCGUUAAGAACACCUUCACUCUUGUGGCAUCACACUUCCCGAAGCUAGCCUUGGAGCGCGCUGCGACAAGAGUUGCGGCCGACUUCAACACAGACUUGAUUCCAGAGGUGGCUGACCAGUACCACGAUGUUGCAGAGAGCAUUGUAAAUGACUUCGACCUGUAGGAAGAAACUUUAAGAUGUAUCAAACUGUGCGUUGAAAUGUUUUAAAUUAAUAUUCUUAAUCAUAUGUGGUGAAAGAAAACUCCAUCCCUCCCUUGGUGUAUACGACAGGACAGCGUGUAGCUAAGGCCUAUAGCUGCUAAGCGCCUAGCCUCGCCUGACCAGCGUCCCGUUGAGAUUGGAUCUUGAGCUUGUAGGAGGGGUGAACGCGAGGUUGUCUAGGUUUUGCCAGCUAGGACACUGACCACACGAGUUAGUCAUAUAACCUCGAGAGGGGGAGGAGAAAAAUGCAGGACCCAGAGGUUGGCACCUGGGGGAAGCUCUCGAGCAUUUGAGUGAGCGGGCUGUUGAAUAGGUCGGACAACCCCCGAGCGUUAGAGAUAGCUCGGCAAAGAGAACAGUAAGGCAGUAGGUACGUGAAAGAACCACAGAGGUCUUAUUUAUUGAAUAUAAAGGGGAAACAAGUUACAUAGCUUUAUAGAUCUAGGGGUAGAAGCAUCGUAGAUGCUCGAUGUUCCACGGAUUAGGGACGCUGGAGCCGUCUGCCCAUUGGAGUCGGUAGGUGCCUAGCUGGAUGCUUCUUUGAUGAUGAAGGAGCCCUCCCAGGGGGUGGCCAACUUGUGCAUGUCCAAUGUUGAAGGAGUGUUCCCUGACAUUCCGAUCAUGGUAGCGUCGUAUCUGCUGCUCAUGGCAUGCAUGCUGAAUGAGGGCUGCCACAUGAUGCUCUUCAAGGCUGUCGAUGUCAUUUUGCCGAGAUGUCAUUCUGCCAACUUUUUUCUGCCUCGCCUUCCUCAUAGUACUAGAUGUGUGGGGCGCCAAAGGCCACGUUUGAUGGUAGGACGGCUUCUAAGCCGUAUACCAUAAAGAAAGGGGUGUAGCCAAUAGCCCGACUCUUUUGUAUUUGUAGGCCCCUGAUGACAUGGGGUAGCUUGCAUAGCCACUUGGUGGCGUAUUUGGAUGCGUCAUCGAAGGUGCACGACUUGAGGUUGCAGUUUGCACGUUCGACCUGACCGUUGCAGCGUGGGUGCGCUACUAAGGAGUAGUACACGUCGAUGAGGUUGUCUUGGCAGAAAUCCCAGAACUCGGAGCCUGUGAAUUGUGCACCAAGGUCGGUAAUGAUCCUGUUGGGCACUCCAAAGUGGUGCAUGAUUUCCUCCACAAACUAAGUGGCUUUAGCCAACUCAAUGCUAGUGAUAGCCUUGACCUCGAUCCACUUGGUGAAUUUAUCGACUGCCACGAAGAUAUGUGUGUAGCCGCCCGGAGUGGUUUUGAAGGGUCCGACCAUGUCUAGCCCCCAGCAUGCAAAAGGCUAGGAUUGUGGGAGGUGCGUAGGGCCUAAGCCAGAAGGUGUUGCUACGUGGAGAAGAACUUACAUCCCUUGCACCUUUGGAUGAGGUCCUUUGCAUCGACUACCACUGUUGGCCAGUAGAAACCUGAGCGAAAAUCUUUGUUGACCAAAGUCCUCGAGGUGGCAUGGUUGCCGCACAUCAUGGAUUUCAUGCAGGAGUUCAAUGCCCUCACUGUGUAGAAUGCACUUCAUCAAGAUCCCUCUAGAUGCAGCUUUCCUGUAGAGCUCCUUGCCGACGACAAUGUAGUUUGCACUGCACUGAGCUAAUUUUUCAUGCUCUAUCUUAUCUUCUGGUGCCAUCUGGUUGGUGAUCGAGGCUGUGAAGGGGGCCCGCUAGUCUUCUUCUACCUCAAUCAUCAUGACGUCAGUGCAUUUUGGGUCGGCCGGAGCAUGAGCGCCAACAUCGUUGACUUGGUUCGGGUCCAAGAUUUUGAUGGAAGGUUUUUGGAGAUCCUGUACGAAUACACUGGUCGGAACUUGUGCGUGUUAGGAGCCAAGCUUGGACAGGAUAUCAGCGAUGACACUGUGGUCCCUAGGGACAUGAUGGAUUACAAGACCAUCAAAGUGAGCCUCAAGCUUGCGGAUUUCCAUGCAGUAAGCGUCCCUGGAUUCCUUGGUGCAAUUCCAAGUUUUAUUGACUUUCUCAAUGACAACCUUGGAGUCGCCAUAAGCAAGGAUGCGCUUGAUUCCUAGAGAAAUAGCAAUGCAUAAGCCAUAGAUGAGGGCUUCGUACUCGGUGCCAUUCUUGGUGGCCAUAUAGUGGAUCUAGAGCACAUACUUGAGCUGCUCACCUUUGGGGGAUAUGAAUAGGACUCCUGCACUGGCUCCUUCAAGGUUAAGGACACUGUGAAAGUACAUGGUCCAGUGUUCUGGCUCCUUCAAGGUUAAGGACACUGUCAAAGUACAUGGUCCAGUGUUCUAGCCUCUUCAGGGAAGGUGGCUUCUGGAUCUCCAUCCACUCAGCCACAAAGUCCGCCAAGAUCUGCGACUUGAUCGCAUGACGUCGGCAGAAAUUGAGGUUGAACUCGCCGAGCUCCAUAGAACACUUGGCAACUCGGCUGUUGACAUCUUUGUUGUGGAGGAUUUUUUGCCGAUGAGGUAUGAUGACACCAGCCAAAUCUUGUUCACUUGAAAGUAGUGCCGCAGCUUUCUUGAGGAGAUCAGAACUGUGUAGAGCAUUUUCUGAACCUGCAUGUAGCGGGUCUUGGAGUCGCUAAGGACUUUGGUUAUGUAAUACACCAGGCGUUGCACCACGUGAGCAUGGUCGGGCUCUUGGCGCUCCACAACUAGCACGGUGCUGACAACAUGCGUCGUUGUAGAGAUGUAGAGGUAUAGAGUUUCUUGGUUGGUCGGGGCAGUCAUGACGGGAGGAGUGGUGAGGAAAGCCUUGAGCUCUUCGAGUGCCUUGCUGGCCUCGUCGUCCUACUCAAAUUUGUCCACCUUUUUGAGGAGCUUGAAGAAGGGCAGAUCUUUUUCUCCAAGUUUGCUGAUGAAGUGGCUAAGGGCCGCCAUCAUGCCAGUAAGCUUCAUGACGUCCUUCUUGUUAGAUGGUUUCGCCAUGUUUCAGAUUGCAUCCACCUUGACUGGGUUGGCCUCGAUGCCUUACUAGCUGACCAUGAAGCCCAUGAGCUUUCCAGACGGGACACCGAAGACACACUUGUCGUGGUUGAGUUUCCAGCAGUAAGCCUAGAGGCUGUUGAAGGUCUUUGCGAGGUCGGCUAUGAAGCUUUCCUCAUCCUUUGUCUUGACAACAACAUCGUCGACGUAAGCCUCGACGUUCCUGUGUAGCUAUGUCACGAGGCAACCCUGGAUUGCCUUCUGGUAGGUGGCACCAGCGUUUUCCAGCCCAAAGGUCAUGGUGUUGUAGCAGUAGAUGCCAAAGGGUGUUAUGAACGCCAUCUUGUUUUGGUCGGCAACAUUAAGGGCAAUCUGGUGAUAGCUCAAGUAGUAGUCAAGGAAGUAGAACAGGAUGCUCUCUGCCAUAGAGUCGAUGAUUUGGUCAAUGUGCGGAAGAGGGAAGGAGUCCUUAGAGCAGUGCUUGUUCAGGAUGGUGUAAUCAAUGCACAUUCUCCAUUCAUCGGUUUUGUUUCUUACAAGGAUGGAGUUUGCUAACUAGUCGGGAUGCUUACAUUCAUGGAUGAAUCUGGCGGCUAGGAGCUUAUUUAAUUCUACCCUAAUGGCCUCCUUGCAAUCUUGGGCGAAGCGAUGGAGUGUUUGCUUGACUGGCCGUGCAGUCUUGCUCAAGUCCAAGGAGUGCUCAGCUAGCUCCUUGGGGACACCGGGUAUAUCGGAUGGCUUCCACGUGAAUAUCUCCGAGUUUUCUCAGAGAAAACUGGUGAGCACGAGUUCCUAUUUCUCUGAGAGAUCAGCCCCUAUGAGGGCCGUCUUGGUCGGGUCUUCUAGGCCGAGGCAGAUCUUCUUGACCUGGGAUCGGGUUGCAGCGCUGUGGACAUCGGCUCUGUCUCAGGGAUCGUUAGCUGGUCCUUGCUCAUUUUCAGGGCCUCGGCUACCAUGGCUAUGGCCUUAGCUGAUAACUCUAGGGCUUCUACAAGCUAAACUGCCUCAUUGUCGCAUCUGUAUGAUGUCUCUACAUCGCCGUAGAUGGAGAGGACUCCGUUUGGGGCCGGCAUCUUGAGGACGAGGUAGGUGUGGUACGGGAUUGCCAUGAACCUCACUAGCAUGGUCCUACCAAGGAUGUCAUGGUAGGAAGUCUUGAAGUUCGCUACCUCAAAUGUGAGGUGCUCCGUGCGGUAGUUUGCUUGUGUGCCAAAGGUGACCAGCAAAACAACGUGGCCAAUCGGGUAGGACCCUUUGCUGGGGAUGAUGUGUUGGAGGUAUGCUCUAGAGGCAAUCAUAGAGAUGAUGACAUUCCAUUGUAUCCAUGUUUUAUAUUGUGUUCCUUGAGUAUCCAUUAAAGGCUACUUGAAUUGAUUUACAAUUAUGUGAAUUGUAUGUGAAACUCUUUACUUGUAUGAUUAUUCUAAAAGUUGUCCCUAAUCAGAGUUCAUGUGAGGACACACAUGAAUAUUAGACUAGCACAUGUAUUAGUUGAUGACUAUGUUUCACAAGUCAUGGAUAUGGAGAUGUCAAACUAAUAAUGUGGGCACGUGUAGAGACAUGUGCUAGGACCGACCCAACGCGAGUUACAAAGUUCUCUCUUUACACAACGUGUACGCUUUGUCCUUAGACAUGAGAUUGUCGCAGUACUCAAGAUGUGGAUCGACUUACUUAGGGACCAUCAAAUGCUAAACCAUAACUGGGUAGUUAUAAAGGUAGCUUUCGGGUUUUUCAAGAAGCAUGCUGUGAGGCAUGGUCAGUCAAGAUGGAAUUUGCCCCUCUCUAUUUGAGAGAGAUAUCUCUUGGCCCCUCGAGUGAUCGGAUCCGGAAAUGCAUGGCCAUGCUAUGUGAGGUUAAGAGUUAACCUAGAAAGGGAUUCCGAAUCGCAGCAUCGAGAAAGAGUGGUCGGCUUGGAGCUAGACCAAAUAUUGUGAGGCAAAGGGAAUAGCAUGUACGUGAUAUUGUGAUGGUUCGUCUGAUAUGAUCUUCGUGUGCGUAUAGGAGUUGGCAUGUCUUGCUAGAGGCCGCUACCAACUAUUGGGCGAGUAGGAGUACUCGUGCCAUGUCUAUACGUAUACGAACCUAUAGGGUCACACACUUAAAGGGCUGGAAGCCUAAUAAGGAUUUGAUCCAAAUUGGACCAGGUUUAGGAGUACUAAUGGGCCUUGGACCCAGAGGCCCAUUAGGAACCCCUAUAUAUUGAGGGGUGGGGGUGCCCUAGGGUUUACCCCUUUUUGGCCGAACCACAGUUGCGCCCCUUCCCGCGCCCUCGCCUUUGUUGCAACGCGCAGACCUAGCAAUCCGGCUUGCGACGCUUCCUCCCCGCAUGUGUGGAUACCUUGGAGGUGUUGCAUCUGCAGCACUUGGACGAGCCGCCGCAUGAGAGCUCCGACGAGGAACCUGAUGAGCCGAUGAGGAACCUGACAAGCCAGCGCACGAGGAGGACGUCGUUACACGUGGAUGAGCUGCUGAGGAGCUGCUCGAUGUCAACGUGUUCGACUACACUGUGUCGACAUGUGAUUGACUUCGCUGCCCUGACACGUUUCUACAACUUCUGCACCUGUGCGUCGAGUGGUAAUCCCGUGAUCUAUAACAGCAGUUAUUCCUGGUUUACACGGUAAAUUUUUUUUGUUUUGUACUAGCAUAGCCUACCUCGUAUCCCAACAUGAUGCUGUAGAAGGGCUCUUCAUAGGGCUAGAGUCACUCGAAGUCAAAGUCCAUGCACUUCAAGGUCUCAGUGAAGGUGAUGUUGAGUUUGUUACCACUGUCAAUCAGCACCUUGGGGAGUAGCGCCCGGUCUAUGGUCGGGCAAACCACCAGCAGGUAGGAACCGGGAUCUGGGAUGUGGACCCAUCGAUCUUUCUUGGAGAAGGUUAUAGAUUGCUCUGACCAGCGUAGAUACUGGAUUGGCUGCAUGAAGACAAAGUGCACGUCUCACUGGUAUAGCUUCUGUUGGCAGUUGCUGCAAAAAGCGUUGUGGCCACCCACGAUGAUGUUGACUUGGCGCUCCGGUCGCUGGAAACCCCCAUUCUAGUCAGCACCGGGCCGUGGGACAUCUUGAUGUGGCUGGUCGCAGCACUCCUCUCGGUUAUGGUCGUCACAGUCAUCGCGCCUGUAGUUGUCGCGGUCGUCGUUGUAGUGGCUGUCGCGACGGCGAUCGUCGCGGUCGUUGCGGUCAUCGCGGCGUUGGUACUCGCGUCUGUUGUCAUCUUGGCGGUAGUCGGUGCAGUGGGGCCGCUUGUACUCCACCGGGGUGCCGAGCUCUUUCUUCAGGACUAUGCAAUCCCGAAGAGUGUGACGUGUGUCCUUGUGGAAGGGUCAUGGAGCGCUAAGGGUUUCGUCGAAUUCUUCCCGGUUAAAGGUGGUCAGUCUAACAGGGUCGGUCUCAGCAGCAAGGACCUCUUGGGCCCUUUUUUGAAGUCAGGACUCCAGACGUGCUUGGGUUUCAUUAUGGAUCGGCUGGUCGUAGUCAUCGCCUAGACAGUGCUUGACAUUCUGGAAUUGAACUUUCGCCGCCUCUUCAAUGUCUGCUUGCUUGUUGACAACUUCCAUCUUGGGGGUAGCCUCGUACAUCUUGCAGAACUCGACCGUCUUGGGGGCAGUCUCGUACAUCUUGCAGAACAUUGUGCAGUUCAUCAGGCUGGAACGGAAGUACAUAAUGAUAUCACGAUUUUCAACACUGGCCAGCCUGUUGUGGUUCUCGAAGAAGCGGUUGGCGUACUCCCGGAUGGUUUCGCAUAUCCUAUGGCGGACUUGGCCAAGUUUCUCCAUGUUGCCGGGCCUAUUAUAGGUAGCUUGGUAGUUUUGGGUGAAAGCUCUAGCGAGCUGCCCCAAUUGUCGAUGCUGUUCCAGGGAGAUUCUCCAGCCACAGGAGCAGAGCGGGACCCAUCACCACCGGGAAAUAGGCAGCCAUCUAGUCGUAGUUGCUGUUGGUGGCUUUCACCGCGAUGCCGUAUGUCUUGACCCGAUGGUGGGGUCAGAGCAACCAUCAUACUUUUCGUUGAUGGCCAGCUUGAAUAUGACUAGCCAGUCAACAGCCUUGAGGCUUGGAGUGAAGACGGCAAAGCCAUCGAUCGCCGUGUCAUCAUCUUCGUCAUCGAGGUAGUACUGGAUGGGCCGAGCUAGCCCUGGGGCGUCCGUGGUAGUCAUGCCUAGGUGGGUUGUAGGCGUUUUCAGGGGCGCUGUACAUGUAGUCAUAGUCAGCGUGGCAAUGCAUCUCAUCUUCUUGGCGACGGCGGUCCUCGCGCUCGGCGUUGCAGUUAGGCACAAGAGCGCCAUAGUCGUGAUUAUACUCAGUGUGGUGGUGGAGCUCGGCUUCUUCACGCUCAUGGUGGUGGGUGUUGAGGUCUAGGCGAAUAUCGAGGUGCUGAUGGAGGUCACACAACUCAUCACAUAGAUCAUGUUGCUAUCCAGGUCGGACAUGGUCCUCAUCAUCGCCUCUCCUGCCUUAGGGUGGUUGUUGUCGUUGUUGUGCUGAUGGCCAUUGUUGACGUUGCCAUUGAUAGGAGGGUUGGUGUUGUUCUUGGCGGGUGGGUUGGCAUCCUGAUCCACCAUUUCUUCACGGAUUGGCUCCAUUCGACCUCCCACGCGGUUACCUCCUCGAUGGUCAGAUCUGCUAUGCCCGGAUUAGCUCCAAGAGUGUCGGGUAGCUGUGGACCGAGAAUGUGCGGGUCGGUUAUUGAUCUGCUCCUCGAUCGGGGUGUUGGUGACUUGGAGUCACGCAUAGAUCCGUCGGAUUUGGUCCGAAUCUAGAAGAUUUUCCAGGUCGGCGAAGGCAGCCCCCAGGUUGGCUAGGGGUGUAGCGAAGAUGUUGUGGCCGGCCUGCUCGAGAUCGGCUAAUAGAUUGUGGGUGUGUACAGGGCUUCUACAUCUGUCCUGAGCAUUGCCUUGUUCAGCGUUGUCACGAUCAUUGCGCAGCUGUUGAUGCUGGUCUCCUGUUGCAUCUGCGUUAGCAACAGGUUGCUACUAGGCAUUGGCUUGCAUUUGUUGGCGCUGUGCUGCACAGUUCUGAUUCCUGGCGUUACGGCCUUCUUCUUGAGAUUCUGUUUCCCAUCAUGGGGUGGCUCAUCAGAAGAGACCAUGAAAGCUUCGCGAUCGGGUGUGAAGGAGUUACUCUCAUCAUUGCUUCCAUAGUGAUUUGGCGUCAGGAUUAUGCAAGACACCUGGAAUUCACCACGAUCUCGAAACUGGGUGGGUUCGAGCAGAUCACUAGAUUGGAUCUGAAAAACCUGGUGAAACUUAGUGGAGUACUCGGCAACCGAGUUCCACAGACCAAAGGGGACGCGAGACGGACCCCGCUGACCUUAUUGAGCAUAGCGCCACCUCAGACAGAUCUAUACACUCAGCAAUGGUGCUGCUGAUGCGAUCUAGCCCUGCGGUCAGGCCGGAGGGCAUGGGUGGGCGGGUGAUGGCGAGUAGAUCUAGAACCCUCUCAGAGAGAGAGAGAGAGAGAGAGAGUUCGCUAACUUGCUGGGCAAGCGGCAUGAUGAUCCUUGGUUAGAGAACUUGUCCCGUCGGGGUAGAUUUGGCGGAAGUCGAGCUGGCGGUGGACAUCGAGUCGACGAAAGAUGUCGAGUCAACGAGAGAAGUAAUCGGAUCGGAAUCCGUUGGCAUGGUCCCAAAGAGAAUCUAGAUUAGCUUGGUGAGGAAGUCCUUCAUGCUCUCGGGAAAAACAACACCGGGACGGGAUGCCAUCGAGGUCGCGAAGAGGGUCUCGCAACCACGCGUACCUGGUGCAUCAACUGUCGGAUUUAUAAGCCUGGCAGUCCACCAUGGGGUUACCCAAGUGGUUGAUUUGUAGGUGGGGGCGGUUGCAAAACCAAGAACUUGAAGGUAAUCACUAAAACAGGAGGGAUAGAAGGGUUUUAGACAGGUUCGGACCUUCGGAGAGUAAUACCCUAUGUCCUGUGUUUUGAUAGUUUGUAUUGCUUGAGAGUUGAUGGGGAUUCUUGGGAUUGGAUUCGUUGGGUUGCCUCAGGAGGCUCCCUUGGCUGCCUUAUGUAGGUUGACAACCAAGAGUUACAUGUCGGUAUGAAUAUAAUCUACUCAGUAGUUAUAUGGAAAGUAAUUUGAGUCAGACUACAAUACGCGUUCCAUGAUAUCCAGGCAGAUUUGGACUGUCUUGUUACCUUGAUGUGUACUCCAAGUAACUUCAUGUCCUUGGCCCACACGCCUUGGUCGGGCGGGCCCACUUGUUAGGUCCGACUAGUAUCCUGGUCGGUUGGGACCCAUGGGAUACCCAUAUCCCUCAACCAGCUGCAUCUCCAGCCGCAAAACCCAAGAAAACCCAGAAAGUACAGAAGAUGAAGGACGUGCAACCAUCUGUGUCUUCUUCUCCUGGACCGGAUGCCCCAUCCACAAGCUAAAAUGCUACGGAGGAAGUCCUACUCAACGGACAUAAAAAUGGUGAGCCCUUGCCGAAUGUAAAUCAGUGUUAUCAAAUAUUUGAAUUUUCAAAAUUGUAUAUUUUCUUUAUUUGUUUUUUUUUCAAACUGCAUAUUUUAUUUUUUCAAACUUGCAUUUGCAUACUGGAAUUUAUUCUAGCCCCUUUAACCUUUCAUAAAAAUUUUCUAAAAAUUCAAAGGCAAUAAAAUAACUUUGAGCAAAAUACUUUGCAAAAUAUUUCGGAGCAUUUCCGGAACUCACUUUGGUCGGGCCUCCCCACUAUGUCACAAUAUAGUUGUUGGGGGGCCGUGGGCCAAAACUAGCAGCCAGUGGGACCCACUAGGGGUUGGUCGAACCGUUGGUUCGGCCGAACCAGGCCCAACGGCUCUUGGGCCCCACCAACGCCAAUGGCUCCUAGCCGUUGCCCUUGGUCGGUUCCCAAUAGCCCGGUGGUUUUGCUCUAUAAAUAUAGGCCGAGAGGUGCAUGUUGAUCAUCCAUUCAACGUGUCACUCACUCACCUCCUCUCCUCUCUUUGGCUCUCGGGUUUUCAUAGAGUUCUUGCUCAAGUCCAAGCACAAGAAACCUCUCUCUCUCUCAAUUCCUUUGCUGCAAGAAUCAACAACCUUGGUGGAGCAACUCGUGGGUAAGAGCUCAUUUUUAUUUUGCUAACGUAACCCAUGUGCAAGUUGUGUUCGUAAACCAUGAAAGGAAUGGGACAGAUGCUCUCCAACGCGUUCAGGGAGGUGAUAGGAUCAAGCUUAAGCCGCUCCCAUGGAAGCGCAAGCACACACCACUCCGAGGACUACAUGCCAAGCCCACUCUGGACCGCAAGCCAUGGAGGUGGAAGAACCACCUCUCGACUUACACGACGACCAGGAAAUGCAAGCCUACGUCCUCAUUAAGGACCGAGUCUUCGCUCACACGCAAGCAUUCGACUCGGAGCUCCUUGAGAGCACAGGUAUAGACGUCGAUUUUGCUAAUGUUUAGCAUACAAUUGGAUGGAAUGAUUUCGUGCCCAUUUCUAAGGAAGGUUCCCGCCUCCUCACCAUCCAAUUCCUUUGCACCUUGCAAGAAGUAGAUGAUGGUAUAUCCUUUCAAUUCUUCGGAAGAGAAUACCAACUGCCUUGGAUGAACCUUAGUCUGCUUCUUGGUUUUCAUAGAAAAUGCAUAGUCGACUUUGACAAAGUUGUUCGUGAGUUUAAUCGCCAUUCCUUUUGGACAAGUAUUUCUGGUCAAGUCGUUGUUGGCAAGUUUUCUCCAUGCUGCAAUGUUUUUCAUAAUCCUAUUUUGAGGUUGAUGCAUAAGGGGCUUGCUUUAUCGCUCUUCCCUACGGAAGAUGUUAGGCCUGUUCAUAAUGAUGAGCUUAAAAUUCUUUUCACCAUGGUUAAGAAGAUUAGAGUUUCUCCUGUUAAGCCCAUGAGUGCUCAGUGGUUAGAACAUGUCAAGAUGAUUGGUCCUAUUGAGUGCAUGUCUUUAAUUACUCGCAUUGCUUCAAAAGUUGGGGCGUUAGAUGGCGUACCUGUUCCGUUCAUUCAACCCAUACUAUCAUUGAUGAAGCAUAUCUUAUUCAAGGUCACACUCUUAAGCAUGAUGAAAACCAGUAUCUUGUAUUCUUCUUCCCUGGCUAUACAAAUGAAAUCCCAUUACCUAACCCUUCCUCUUGCACCACAAGAGGAAGCUCGCAGGAGUAAUGUCUUUGGUAGGUUAACUCGGAGAAGGUCCAGGAACAAAGCCACUACCUCACAGUACCAGCCCCCGUAGUCCUACCACGUCAUGCAGCAGAUGUACUAGGCAGGGUGGGUUCUGUUGGGAUACGAGGUAGGCUACGCUAGCGCAAAUCAAAAUUUUCUACCGCGUAUAACCAGGAAGAACUGCCGUAUAAGGAUCACGGGAUUACCACUCGACGCACUACUGGUGCGGAAGAUGUAGAUAUGCGUCGGUGCAGUGGAGACGAUCACGUAGUCGUACGUAGUCGAUCAACGUAGUCGUACGUAGUCGAUCACGUCCAGCAGCUCCUCAGCAGCUCGUCCACGUGCACAGCAAGAUCGCCUCCGGUGCCGCGGCUCGUCGUCGGCUCGUCGUGGCUCGUCGGCGGCUCGUCGAUGGCUCGUCCAAGUGCUGCAGGCGCAACACCUCCAAGGUAUCCACACGUGCAGGGAGGAAGCGUCGCAAGCCGGAUUGCUAGAUCCGCGAGUUGCAACAGGCGAGGGCGUGGGAGGCGCGGCAAGUAUGUUCAGCCAAAAGGUAUGAACCCUAGGGCGCCCCCACCCCUCUAUUUAUAGGGGUUCCUGACGGGCCUCUGGAUCCGAGGCCCAUUAGUACUCCUAAACCUAAUCCAACUCGGAUCAGAUCCGAAUUGGGCUUCCAGCCCCUUAAGUGUGUGACCCUAUGGGUUCGGAUACGUAUAGACAUGGCCCGAGUACUCCUACUCGGCCCAAUAGUCGGUAGCGGCCUCUAGCAAGACGUGCCAACUCCUAUACGCAUACGAAGAUCAUAUCAGACGAACCAUCACAACAUAAUAUACAUGCUAUUCCCUUUGCCUCACGAUAUUUGGUCUAGCUUCAAGCCGACUUGGAUAUCCUUCUGAUCGGUUGUAGAAAUAAUAUCCCAAAGUUUCCUUUGGAUAUCCCACGAAAAUGCACUUAUCCGACUUGGGUGUGAUCUUGUCCGACUGAAGUCGCUUGACAAACACUUCACAUCCCCAAAUCUUUAGAAAAGACAAACUAGGAACCUUUCCAGUCCACAUCUCAUAUGGUGUCUUAACUACGGAUUUAGAUGGUACCCUAUUAAGUGUGAAAGCUGCUGUUUCUAGAGCAUAUCCCCAAAAUGACAACGGUAGGUCCGACUGGCUCAUCAUUGAUCGAACCAUGUCUAACAAAGUUCGAUUACGUCACUCGGACACACCGUUUCUCUGAGGUGUUCCAGGCGGCGUAAGUUGUGGAACAAUUCCGCAACUCUUUAGAUGAUUGCUAAACUCGUGGCUCAAAUACUCGCCUCCACGAUCAGAUCGUAAGGCCUUAAUUUUCUUGCCACGCUGAUUUUCAACUUCAUUCUGAAAUUCCUUGAACUUUUCAAAGGUUUCAGACUUGUGCCUCAUCAAGUAGACAUAGCCAUAUCUACUAAAAUCAUCAGUGAAAGUUAUGAAGUAUUGGAAUCCUCCUCUAGCCGUCGUGCUCAUUGGUCCGCAUACAUCACUAUGUACGAGUUCCAACAAGUCUACUGCUCUCUCAGGAAAUCCUGUGAAAGGCGUCUUGGUCAUCUUGCCUAGCAAGCAAGCCUCACAUGUCUCGUAUGAUUCAAAAUCAAACGAAGUUAGAAGUCCAUCAGAAUGGAGCUUCUUCAUGCGCUUAUCACUUAUGUGACCCAAACGACAAUGCCACAAGUAUGUAGGACUCAAAUCAUUAGGCCGAGGCCUUUUAGCACUUACAUUACAGACAGGUGAACCAUCAAGAUUUAAAACAAAUAAUCCAUUCACAAUGGGUGCAAAAGCCAUAAACAUAUUAUUCUUAGAGAUCACACAACCAUUGUUUUCACUCGCAAAUGAAUAACCAUCCUUCAUCAAACAUGAAGGAGAUAAAAUGUUUCGACUUAAACUAGGAACAAAAUAACAAUUAUUCAACUCCAUAAUAAAUCCUGACGGGAGGUGGAGUUGCAUCGUCCCGACGGUCAAAGCAGCAACUCUUGCAUUAUUGCCCACGCGGAAAUCAACUUCUCCUCUUUCCACGCUUCUACUUCUUAUCAUUCCCUGCAUCGAAUUGCAAAUAUGAGCAACCGAUCCGGUAUCAAAUACCCAAGAAUUAAUAACUGUAUCAGCGAGAAAUAUGUUGUCUAUAACAUAAACAACAAGCGUACCUGAGGUAGAAGUACUCUUACUUCCGCCGUUCUUCAACGAAGCUAGGUACUGCUUGCAGUUUCUCUUCCAGUGACCAAGUUCAUGACAGUAAAAGCACUCUUUAUCUGGAGCAGGUCCAGGUCCAGCUUUAACCUUGGGCGGUGGGUUUGGCUUGGACGUUCCAGCCUUGCCCUUCUUCUUCCAAGAAUUGCCCUUCUUCUUAAAGCUGGGCUUGUUCUGUAUCGCCAUCACAUGGCUGGUACUAGCGCUUUUCUUUAUGUCAGCCUCUGCUGUUUUAAGCAUGCCACACAGCUCAUUCAGACCCUUCUCCGUCCCAUGCAUAUGGUAGUUCGAGAUGAAGUUCCCAUAGCUAGGAGGAAGAGACGAAAGAAUGAAAUCAGUGGCCAACUCUUGGCCCAGUGGGAAGCCUAGCUUCUCCAACCGUUGAGUGUAACCAACCAUCUUGAUUACGUGUGGUCCUACUGCUGCGCCUUCUGCUAGCUUGCUCUCAACAAAGGCCUUAGACACAUUGAACCUUUCAGUCCUGGCCUGUGUUUGGAACAUGUCUCUAAGCGCCACGAUCAUAUCGUGCGCCUCAUGGUUUGUUUCGAACUGCAUCUGCAGCUCGGGUUCCAUGCAAGCAAGCAUAAGGCAGCUUACUUCGAGGUUAGCAUCACAUGCUUUCUUGUAAGCAUUCUUAGCAGCGGCGGGUGCAUCCUCAGCAGGUUCUUCUGGUAGUGGGUUGUCUAGAACAUCUUCCUUUUUCUCAGCCCUGAGAACAAUUCUCAGGUUGCGGAUCCAAUCCGAGUAGUUUGUUCCAUUCAACUUGUCCUUCUCAAGGACCGAACGCAAAGCAAAAGAUGUGGUGGUGUUGCUAGGUGCCAUUUAAUCUACAACAAAAGUAAUGCAAAAUACACUAAGACAAACGUAUCCAUGAUAGAGCAAAUUACAUUAAACUAUUUUAACAGAAUCUACUCCCACUAAAAUCAAUAUCCCUCUAUUGAAACUUAGUGAUUCAGGAUCCACAACUAACAAGUCUACUAGUGAGCUUUAGCAUCACCGCUAGCAAACGAGGUAGGUCGGUAAGCAACUUUUGCUAAUCAUAUCACAUAUGACUCCUGUUGUUGGGUGACAUCUCUAUGUCUCGGCGCCCAACCUUUAUGCCCCAAGGUCCUUAACCGUUAAGAUAACCUUGUUAAGUAAACCAACCCUUAUGCGUGUAAGUGUCCGACACAAACCCGUCUAGUCAAGGAAAACUAGUGGCACCCUAAUUUCAUAGACCCACCACUAAUUGUACAAGACAUGGGACGGCGCAAGUUUUAGUUGGGAGGGCAUACUAACUUAAACUUUGUGAGGGAUCGUUCUACUUCUAACAUCACAGCAUGCAGAAAGUAAAACAUAAAACAGAAUAGCAUUCACACAGUUGUGACACAGUAUGGCCCGUUUUUCUUAUGGUGAUCUCCAUCUCCAUAGAACCUGUUCACCAUGGUGAUCUCCAUCUCCAUGUUCCAUGUGCGCCAUCCUCCUGGUGAUGAGUCCUCCAAGAACUAGAGCAUGCUAUUACGCCUAAUAGCUAGUAAAGAAUCUAGUAAUGAAGAUUACAUAGUUGCUUGGAUCAUCACAGAUUGGUACGCAGACCAUUAAUUACAAUAAAGUGACAACACAUAUGGCUCCUGCCGUGUUGCCGUACGCGCGACACGCAGGUCACGAAUUAGUUACACACAUGCAUCACAUACACAAGGGGGCCAUACUGAUCACAAGAUAUAUACAUACAUCCUGCAAAAGAGAGUUAGGCAUCCUAACGUUCCAAACUUGGGAGGCCCGAAACUCCAUCUUCCAAGCCGAAUUUGGCAAAUCUAAUUUCGCCGAAAACGGCAAAGCGGUUGAAAUUCACGUGUAACUUUUUCUGUAGAUCAAUUUUCGUAUAGAAAUCGCCCCGAUCCGAGAUCGUACCGAAAAGUUACGGCUGAUUUACCGAAGCAUGCGCAUACGGCAAAAUCCCGACCCCGGCAGUAGAUCACAUCUACUAUUGCACAUCUAAUGCGCCUGGCGUAUGACCCUGGAUCUCGAUUUGACCAAUCAUAUUGAUCUUCCCUCACUGCAACUGGAUUUACGUGUAUCACUUAACUCCGAUGGCGGAAACCGACCGGUAGGAGUAUGUCGUUACACUACCAUUGCAGCAAGGGCACGAAAUCAGGACAUAGAUCAAACAGAGAACUCGCAUAUCUCCAUAUGCAUACAUCCCGAAUCCAAAACUAAGCAGCUAAGGCUCUGAUACCACUGUUGGGAUACGAGGUAGGCUACGCUAGCGCAAAUCAAAAUUUUCUACCGCGUAUAACCAGGAAGAACUGCCGUAUAAGGAUCACGGGAUUACCACUCGACGCACUACUGGUGCGGAAGAUGUAGAUAUGCGUCGGUGCAGUGGAGACGAUCACGUAGUCGUACGUAGUCGAUCAACGUAGUCGUACGUAGUCGAUCACGUCCAGCAGCUCCUCAGCAGCUCGUCCACGUGCACAGCAAGAUCGCCUCCGGUGCCGCGGCUCGUCGUCGGCUCGUCGUGGCUCGUCAGCGGCUCGUCGAUGGCUCGUCCAAGUGCUGCAGGCGCAACACCUCCAAGGUAUCCACACGUGCAGGGAGGAAGCGUCGCAAGCCGGAUUGCUAGAUCCGCGAGUUGCAACAGGCGAGGGCGUGGGAGGCGCGGCAAGUAUGUUCAGCCAAAAGGUAUGAACCCUAGGGCGCCCCCACCCCUCUAUUUAUAGGGGUUCCUGACGGGCCUCUGGAUCCGAGGCCCAUUAGUACUCCUAAACCUAAUCCAACUCGGAUCAGAUCCGAAUUGGGCUUCCAGCCCCUUAAGUGUGUGACCCUAUGGGUUCGGAUACGUAUAGACAUGGCCCGAGUACUCCUACUCGGCCCAAUAGUCGGUAGCAGCCUCUAGCAAGACGUGCCAACUCCUAUACGCAUACGAAGAUCAUAUCAGACGAACCAUCACAACAUAAUAUACAUGCUAUUCCCUUUGCCUCACGAUAUUUGGUCUAGCUUCAAGCCGACCGCUCUUUCUCGAUCCUGUGAUUCAGAAUCCCUUUGUAGGUUAACUCUUAACCGUACGUAGCAUGGCCAUGCAUUUUCGGAUCCGAUCACUCGAGGGGCCCAGAGAUAUCACUCUCAAUCAGAGAGGGGCAAAUCCCAUCUUGAUUGACCAUGUCUCAUAGCAUGCUUCUUGACAAACCCGAAAGCUACCUUUAUAACUACCCUGUUACGGCGUAGCGUUUGAUAGCCCCUAAGUAGGUCGAUCCACAUCUAGAAUACAUGCGACAAUCUCAGGUCUAAGGACAAAGCGUAUAUGUUGUUUAAAGAGAGAACUACUUCUCGUGUUGGGUCAGUCCUAACACAUGUCUCCACAUGUGUCCACAUUAUUAGUUCAACAUCUCCAUGUCCAUGACUUGUGAAACAUAGUCAUCAACUAAUACAUGUGCUAGUCUAAUAUUCAUGUGUGUCCUCACAUGAACUCCGACUAGGGACAACUUUAGAAUAACCAUACAAGUAAAGAGUUUCACAUACAAUUCACAUAAUUGCAAAUCAAUUCAAGUAGCCUUUAAUGGAUAUUCAAUGAACACAAUAUACAAAUCAUGGAUACAAGUGGAAUAUCAUCAUCUCUAUGAUUGCCUCUAGGGCAUACCUCCAACAGGUUCCAGUUGGGCAGAUGCUAGGGAUUGCACUUGGGUAUCAGCCAGGUUGGGACCAACCUCCAUAGCCGCAUGGAGCUGGAGGCUCAGGCUAGCAAAGUGCAAGCAACACAGAAUGGGAGCAAGGACCAUAUGGACAUCACAUUUCUUCCAGCUCCAGUGGUCCGCCCCUGAUGUCCGUGCACACGGAUCCUUCUCGACAAGGCGACACCGUGACCUCACGGACCUCAGCCGCCAGAUGAAUGACCUCGAGAUCCAGAUAGGUGAAAUACAAAACACUCUUAACACACAUGUCCAUGGUUUCUCUACGUGGUAGUAGCAGGUCGACAUACAGUUCAACGCCAUCAACACCUCGCUGCAACAAAGCCACGACGACCUACAGGCCUAAUUCCGCUCCUAAGGGUACAACCCCCAUCUAGGCCAAUGAGCAAGGAACAAGCUUGGGGAGGAGACCCCCAAGAGAGGUAUCUUGUAUCUUCAUUUCUUAUCUUUGCAUAUAAAAAAUCUGCAUAUGACAAAAAGAAUAAAAAUAUUUACUUGCUUUCAUAUGUGUAGUAAGAAUGUUUUAGUUCUUCCUUGUUGAGAUGAUGAAUAGUUGCUCUUCUCUAUUUCCUUCGUGUGCCUAGUUUACAACUUAGUUUGUUGGCUGUCGUUCAUCCUAGAAACUUGAAUCUUGUGGGUUGCAAGUGCAUGAUCUAAGUCUAAGUUGUUGCAUGAUGUGAGAUGGUAUAAUAGAGUUUGCUAUGAUCUUGUUCCAAGUGAAAGUUGACAUCCGGAGUUCUAUUUCCAAAAUCAUAAAAAUAAUAAAGUUCCUCAAUGAUGAUUGAAAUGUCCUACCAAAGCCAUAUGAUGUUAAUUUGCACAACAUGUACACAUAUGUUGCUUGCUAUCACUUUGAGCAUUGUCAAAUUGUUGUGACCCUUGAGAAGUCCUCAUCAUACUUUCAUGAUCAAGAUCACGUACACUCCACAUAUUUUUUUUAUGCUGACUUCUACACCGGAAGUUAUGCAAAACUAUGCCUUCCAUCCACAUAUAUAUGCUCCAUCCCUAUGACAUUACUCCCCUCUAUUCAUAAUGCAAAAAGAUAUGGGUUAUGCAAAAAGAAGAAAAAGAAAAAAGAAAUAAAAUCCAUGCUCAAAUAGCCUAAGAGAAAAAAGAGAGAGAAAAGAGAAAAAGAGAAGAAGGAAAAAGAAAUAUGGAUAGCCCACAUCCCAAAAAUAAAUAAAAGAGGGAGUCAUGCAAAAAGGAGUUCAAAUAAAAUCCCACCAAAAAUUCCACACACAUGCAGUUCUUGAUCAGAUUGUAUGUCUUGCACCUCAUCGGAUCCACUCUUUGACUUUGCAAAAUUAUGUGAUACAAGUAUGCCUCAUUUCAUAUCCUACCCAAAACCCCACAAAAAGCCUAUUAGAAGUAGGAUGAAAAGAGGCAAUUCAUGCCUUGGUGAGGACUAUAUACAUUGAGCGAUCAAGAGCAUCAUAUGAGGAACUUGUUUUCAUUUCACAAACCAUCAAAAACCUUCAGAAAGAUAGUUCAACAAGGAGUAAGUGAAUGGUGACUUUAUAUAACCGUUCUAUCUUGCAAUUGCCCAAGACAUGGAAAAAGCCAAAAGCCCCAUGGGACUAAGGUAAAAGGGUGGACAAUGCCAACUUAUUCAAUUCGAGGAAGAAUCCUUUAUUGUCCACAUGGUAAAUGGAAGAAAGAAGGUAUUGUAGCAACUCAUGAUCAACAACCUAAGCAUUAGCUUUUGCUCGGGAUGAGCAAAUGGCAAGCUUGGGGGAGUUUGUUGACGGUCCUUAUGUCAGAAAUCUGACCGUCACGCUACUCAAAGAAUAAAGGAAAACUAACAUUCCUUACUCACAUAUUUGUUAUCAAUAACCUAGUGCACAUGUAUUGGCAAAUAAGUUAUUUUAGGGACACAAAUCUGUACAAGAGAGGAAACAUGCGCAAACAUGGAUGAAACACACAGAAGGAC